GGUGUGACUGCGUACCUUUUGUAUAAUGGGUCAGCGACUUAUAUUCUGUAGCAAGGUUAACCGUAUAGGGGAGCCGAAGGGAAACCGAGUCUUAACUGGGCGUUAAGUUGCAGGGUAUAGACCCGAAACCCGGUGAUCUAGCCAUGGGCAGGUUGAAGGUUGGGUAACACUAACUGGAGGACCGAACCGACUAAUGUUGAAAAAUUAGCGGAUGACCUGUGGCUGGGGGUGAAAGGCCAAUCAAACCGGGAGAUAGCUGGUUCUCCCCGAAAGCUAUUUAGGUAGCGCCUCGUGAACUCAUCUUCGGGGGUAGAGCACUGUUUCGGCUAGGGGGCCAUCCCGGCUUACCAACCCGAUGCAAACUACGAAUACCGAAGAAUGUUAUCACGGGAGACACACGGCGGGUGCUAACGUCCGUCGUGAAGAGGGAAACAACCCAGACCGCCAGCUAAGGUCCCAAAGUCAUGGUUAAGUGGGAAACGAUGUGGGAAGGCCCAGACAGCCAGGAUGUUGGCUUAGAAGCAGCCAUCAUUUAAAGAAAGCGUAAUAGCUCACUGGUCGAGUCGGCCUGCGCGGAAGAUGUAACGGGGCUAAACCAUGCACCGAAGCUGCGGCAGCGACACUCUGUGUUGUUGGGUAGGGGAGCGUUCUGUAAGCCGUUGAAGGUGGCCUGUGAGGGUUGCUGGAGGUAUCAGAAGUGCGAAUGCUGACAUAAGUAACGAUAAAGCGGGUGAAAAGCCCGCUCGCCGGAAGACCAAGGGUUCCUGUCCAACGUUAAUCGGGGCAGGGUGAGUCGACCCCUAAGGCGAGGCCGAAAGGCGUAGUCGAUGGGAAACAGGUUAAUAUUCCUGUACUUGGUGUUACUGCGAAGGGGGGACGGAGAAGGCUAUGUUAGCCGGGCGACGGUUGUCCCGGUUUAAGCAUGUAGGCGGAGGUUCCAGGUAAAUCCGGUACCUUUUAACGCUGAGGUGUGAUGACGAGGCACUACGGUGCUGAAGUAACAAAUGCCCUGCUUCCAGGAAAAGCCUCUAAGCAUCAGGUAACAUCAAAUCGUACCCCAAACCGACACAGGUGGUCAGGUAGAGAAUACCAAGGCGCUUGAGAGAACUCGGGUGAAGGAACUA
RNAcentral lists this ribosomal RNA (1124 nucleotides) under Enterobacter cloacae. RNAcentral's name for it is "partial 23S ribosomal RNA". It matches the Rfam family "Bacterial large subunit ribosomal RNA", at positions 590 to 1715 of the family's 2925-position model. Lineage: Bacteria; Pseudomonadati; Pseudomonadota; Gammaproteobacteria; Enterobacterales; Enterobacteriaceae. The record is from RNAcentral.